GAUGAACGCUGGCGGCGUGCUUAACACAUGCAAGUCGAACGAUGAAGCCCAGCUUGCUGGGUGGAUUAGUGGCGAACGGGUGAGUAACACGUGAGUAACCUGCCCUUAACUCUGGGAUAAGCCUGGGAAACUGGGUCUAAUACCGGAUAGGAGCGCCUACCGCAUGGUGGGUGUUGGAAAGAUUUAUCGGUUUUGGAUGGACUCGCGGCCUAUCAGCUUGUUGGUGAGGUAAUGGCUCACUAAGGCGACGACGGGUAGCCGGCCUGAGAGGGUGACCGGCCACACUGGGACUGAGACACGGCCCAGACUCCUACGGGAGGCAGCAGUGGGGAAUAGUGCACAAUGGGCGAAAGCCUGAUGCAGCGACGCCGCGUGAGGGAUGACGGCCUUCGGGUUGUAAACCUCUUUCAGUAGGGAAGAAGCGAAAGUGACGGUACCUGCAGAAGAAGCACCGGCUAACUACGUG
This 466-nucleotide ribosomal RNA is filed under the name uncultured bacterium. RNAcentral's name for it is "partial 16S ribosomal RNA". It matches the Rfam family "Bacterial small subunit ribosomal RNA", at positions 28 to 507 of the family's 1533-position model. The record is from RNAcentral.